UUCAUCAGAACACGUCUUAUCCCUCAGCAGAACACGUCUUGUCCCUACGUCGGCUCCAAAUGUAGCAGCAUCAUAAUUGGGUUCAAAUAGACGACAGACGACAGCGAGGUGGAAUGUUACUCAGAACCUGACAGUGAGGGCAUGUCUGGCUUAAGUACAGGCGCUAUAUCUGGACUUGUGAUCGCUGUUGUAUUGGCUGUUGUUAUACCCACUGUUUGAAUAAUUUACAAGGGUAAAGCAUGCCAAAGGUGAUGAUGGACAAAACGGACAAACGACCGAAAACAGAUGAAUUUGACAACCCUGGCUUCUCAAAUAUUCCUAGAUAGUGUCGGAAUACUAGAGAGAAAGUGGCUAUCAAGGCCACAAUUAAACAGUGUUUCUCUUGUGAUUAAAAAUAUAUUAGUAAACAAGCAUAGUAAAUUAUGUUUUAAAGCGAUCCUAUUUGAAACUGAACGGUGUUUCUCUUUUGAUUUAAAAAUAUAUUAGUAAACACACUUAGUAAACUAUGUCUUAAAUGCAUCCUAUUUGGAACUCGACAUUUUUCGGGCUCACACUGUUGUGGCCCGAAUGGCCCAUCCACCAACAUUGUGCUAGACCAUUUAUUUUUGUUUUAUUACUAUAUAUUUUUAAAGCUGUAGUGUCUGGUUUCAAUCGUAUACAAUCAAGUUCUAAGUUCAAAUACAAGUAUAACUGCACUUUUAAUUCACUCGCGAGUUGUCGUCAUUGGCGCAUAUCGUCAAAUGCUUACUAGCCAGUUAGAACAAUGCUCGCCAUUUUGUAAUACCGAGCAGAUACUAGCAGCCACUUCAUAGCAGCCAAUUAUGCUAGCAGCCAAUUUCAGCAGACCCGCAUGGCGACGUUCUAAACACCGGACUUGUACACCUUUUAUAAUGUGUGUUGUGGGGUGGUCUAUACGAAACUAGCUGGACAUCCUAUAUUACCGUAGUACAGAAGGAUUUUUAAAGUGAUACUGCAGAUAUUAUAACAGUGCUUAAUAAAACGGUUAAGUUGUAUUUAUACGGAUAUUAGUAACAAUAAGACUGUCAAAAUGAGUCUUGGUUGUUAUUUUGUUUUUGUGUUGUUUUUAUAUAAAGAUACUCUUUAAAACUCUAAAAUUCUUAAGUUGUAGUGAAUAAUAAAAAUUAGCAUAGCAGUGUGUUUAAAAGUGUGAAAUACAGGUAACAAUCGAAAGCCGUACGAGUCCGAUGUUUAGAACGUCGACAUGAGUGUCUGCUGAAAUCGGCUGCUAGCGUAAUUGGCUGCUAGAAAUUGACUGCUCGGUUUUUAUAAUGCAACAAUAGCCCAACCGUACUAUUUUUAGCCCAGUGGGCGCCCGCCAAAAGUGUUCCACUUUCAAAAUACCGG
Molecule: long non-coding RNA, 1365 nt
Organism: Gigantopelta aegis
Lineage: Eukaryota; Metazoa; Mollusca; Gastropoda; Neomphalida; Peltospiridae
Exons: 3
Source: RefSeq, a predicted model, not a curated record